GAUUAACGCUGGCGGCGUGCAUAACACAUGCAAGUCGAACGAUGAAACUUAGUCGACUUCUUCGGAAAGACACUAAGCGGAUUAGUGGCGAACGGGUGAGUAACGCGUGAGUAACCUGCCUUACACAAGGGGAUAGCCUUUGGAAACGAAGAAUAAUACCCUAUAAAACCAUAAAAGCACAUGCUAGAAUGGUCAAAGUGCUAGCGGUGUAAGAUGGACUUGCGUCUGAUUAGCUAGUUGGUGAGAUAAAAGCUCACCAAGGCAACGAUCAGUAGCCGGCUUGAGAGAGUGUACGGCCACAUUGGGACUGAGACACGGCCCAGACUCCUACGGGAGGCAGCAGUGGGGAAUUUUGCACAAUGGGGGAAACCCUGAUGCAGCGACGCCGCGUGAUUUAGAAGGCCUUCGGGUUGUAAAAAUCUUUUGUAUAGGAAGAAAAUGACAGUACUAUACGAAUAAGGUCCGGCUAAUUACGUG
Molecule: ribosomal RNA, 477 nt
Filed under: uncultured bacterium
Lineage: Bacteria
Description: partial 16S ribosomal RNA
Rfam family: Bacterial small subunit ribosomal RNA
Source: RNAcentral